AACACGUUUUAAAAACCUUGUGGGGAAUCCCGAAAGGAAAAUCUCAAAGAGGACAAUAUCUGCUAGUGGUGCGCUUGGGCUGCUGCCGUGGUCCUAUUAAUAACGAGAUACUUCUGUCUUGAAAUCGAAGUUAGUGACUAAGUUUGACAAUUCUCCCACUUAAGCAUUCUUGUGGUGUUUCAAUGCAGUUUCUCUCCAAUCACCUUCAGCUUUAACUACAUUAUCCUUUUAGUGUUGCCAUGUUCCAGCCAUGGUUGAUGGAGCUCCGAUACCAAGUAUAUGCAACUCAAUUUUUUAUUACUGCUGAUCUAUUAUUUCCUUUGGAUUAAAAAGACUGAUACCAUUGUUUGAACUUAAUAGGCAUCAAGCUAGGGUUGUAGUAGUUAAUAUGAUGUUUAAUCUGGCUAUAGGCUAUCUUAUCAAGAACAAAAAAUCUGGCUACUGACUACAAUAGGUAGCUAGUAACCAUGCUGUCGUAAGUUUUUCCUACUUCACGGUUCAUCUUGAAUUUCUACACAUUUUAGCUGACUACAAUUUGUAGCUAGCAUAAUUAUGCUUUGGAUCUUUCCUUUCCUUUUUAGAGAAAGUGUAUGGCUGCAGGCUACAACAUUUCUAUUCUGUCAAGUUCCCUAUUUCUAAGCUUGUUAGGUGAUUGUGAUUAUGUUUUUUGCGGACAUUGUUUGCAAGUACUUAAUCUCUGCAUACAUGUUUUUUUUUUUUUGGUUCAAUUUAGUAUCAAAUUGUAGCAGCAAUCAUAUUAAUGUGGUUCCUUCCUAGAGUUUGCUUUCAAUUAUUAUUAUUAUUUUUUUCUUUAUGUUUUAUAAUCUUGGAAGGAUGAAUUGCAUUAGGGUUAAUCUCUUUCGUCGGUACAAGUACCAUCAAGUGUUGCAACUCUUUUCGAAAGAAAAGUUCAAAAACUUUCAUUGGGCUAAAAUCGGUACAGAAGGAUCACAAGUUGGAAAUUUCUGUUUAUAGAAGCAAAGAGGUUGGUGGUCUCUGUCUUGAAAACUUGAAAAAAAGGAACAUUGCUUUUGUAACCAAGUGGAAUUGGAUUUUUUCUUAGAGAAAACUUGCUAUGGAGAUUCCUAGUGGAUGGAGCUCACAAGGAAAACAUCAGUAAAAGAAGCCCAUUCCAUGGAAUUUCAUAAACAAAAUGCAGAUAGCCCGUGGAAAAAUAUCUUGAUUCCAAGGUCGGAGAUAGGAGCAAAGUGCUAUUUGGGUAACACAAAAUGGCUAUGGGGAAUAUCCUCGUAAGGAGGAGAGAUUCUUGACAAUCUACCUGGUGAAGACAUGAAAUUGUGUAAGAUUAGAAACUGCAGGAAGGAAGAGAACAAAUGUGUGAUGCCUGAAUUCUAGAAGAGUCUUGAACGACAGAGAACUGACGACUGGUUGUAACUUUAUUCUAGAAAUUCCAUCUUUGCUCACAAGAAGAUUCAUUAAUCUUGAAAGGAGAUCCGUUGAGAAUUUUUGCCACAAAAUCAAUUUUCCAUAUUAUCACACAGAAACAAAUUCCCAGCCAAUUCUCCUAUGGUUGCUGUUUGAAGCAAUCAAAAGUUUAAAUCUCCUAAAGAAUUUAAAACUCUUUUGUUUGGAAUUUGGCUCUUGGAGGCGGUAAAAGAAAUUUCCGUGUGUACCUCCACCCUAGCAUAUGCAGCCUCUUUGAAAAAGAAGAGGAAAAUGGUUACCAUUUCUAUUUUGACUUUGAUUAUAAUCAGAAGCCUCUUUUCAAGUGUGAAAGCUCUUGCUAUUUGGGUGAUAGGAGCAAAGGAUAUCCUUUGGCUGACAUGAUGAGAGAAAUUUUUAGAAUCUUUUUUAUAAGAAAAAUUGAGAGGAAACAUGUGAGUUACCUUACUUGAACACCUCAACAUGGUUCACUCUUUCCAUUCUUUAUUAAUUUUAAUUCUUUUGUUAUUAACAUUAAAUGAAUAGGUUUUUCCUUUGUUUUCCUUUUGUACUUUUUAUUUUUUCAAUGAAAAGAAGGUGGAGCCCUGCUGCUCUAAUCACCCCUGUUGCUCUAA
Molecule: non-coding RNA, 2018 nt
Organism: Cucurbita pepo subsp. pepo (vegetable marrow)
Lineage: Eukaryota; Viridiplantae; Streptophyta; Magnoliopsida; Cucurbitales; Cucurbitaceae
Source: RefSeq, a predicted model, not a curated record